AUGUCUGUGCUCCACAACCGCAAUCUGAAACGCCGUACCUUCUCCUUCGACACCGGGCGCUCCGAGUGGAGGUUCCAUGGGGAACGGGCCUUGCCUUUCCAAGGCCAGGGCUACUACGACAGCACGCUGGACGCGUGGGUCGGCCUUCGCGAGGAUGGCUACGUCUGCGCCUGCCAGGUCGCCCCCCGCAGCGGCGCCAUGCGGCCGGAGUGGAAGAUCGUCAAGGAGAAGAUGUUCCACAAGGUACCGGAGAGGAAGCGGGCGGCCACGUAUGCCACUCUCACGUACAUGGGCAACGCCAGGUUUUGCCUUGUGGAGAGUGUGGUCCGUGAGGAAGUGGAGUAUGAGUACGCCUUCGGUGAUUGCGAUGGCUGCAUGCUCCAUAUGACCAGGUUUGGCCUCAGGUACACUCAUAAGGGAGAGCUGCAGACCACCAUCGAUUGUACCACCAGCUCUUAUCCAUUGUCCAAGCAUAUCACACAUUUUUCUCCUGUGGCGUUCUGGAUGUAG
Molecule: ribosomal RNA, 510 nt
Filed under: Triticum aestivum (bread wheat)
Lineage: Eukaryota; Viridiplantae; Streptophyta; Magnoliopsida; Poales; Poaceae
Description: partial small subunit ribosomal RNA
Source: RNAcentral